RNAcentral lists this ribosomal RNA (229 nucleotides) under uncultured bacterium. Its description in RNAcentral is "partial 16S ribosomal RNA". It matches the Rfam family "Bacterial small subunit ribosomal RNA", at positions 568 to 796 of the family's 1533-position model. The record is from RNAcentral.
UGCGUAGGCGGGGCAAUUAGUCAGUGGUGAAAUCCUGCGGCUUAACCGUAGAACUGCCAUUGAUACUGUUGCCCUUGAGUAUAGUUGAGGUGGGCGGAAUGUGUAAUGUAGCGGUGAAAUGCAUAGAGAUUACACAGAACACCAAUUGCGAAGGCAGCUCACUAAGCUAUAACUGACGCUGAGGCACGAAAGCGUGGGUAGCGAACAGGAUUAGAUACCCUGGUAGUCC